Non-coding RNA from Pimephales promelas (fathead minnow), 1211 nucleotides. The record is from RefSeq and is a predicted model, not a curated record. Lineage: Eukaryota; Metazoa; Chordata; Actinopteri; Cypriniformes; Leuciscidae.
CGGGAACUGGAGCGCGAGGAGGAACUGCUUCCAGAAUGCCUGGACCUGUACCUGAUUAAACAUCAUCAGCAAAACGCAAACUUAAACACUAGCAACAGCUUCCAUUACCUUUUUUUGGGCGGUGAACGAGACCUGGAAGGAGAUGACGAUGACGAUGAAGAACAAGAAGAGCACGAUGACCUUGACCUGGAGCGCCGAUAUCCUCCAUCAUAACCCCGCCUCUUCCUCCUCCCACGGUCCAAUGGGCUCGGAGAGGGGGCGGAGAAGCGCAAGCCCUCCGCCUCCUCAAGCGUGUCUGUCCUGCAGGGCGAGCUGUCAGGUGACAACAACACCCUGUAAUCGCAAGGGCUCGAAACCGAGUUGAACGGCGUCUUGCUUCCCAGAAUCCCACAGUAAUCGUGAUCCAGGAAAAGUUGAGCGGGAUUCGACGCAGGAGUGAAGGUGGGAAGUUUUGAAUGAGUUUUGCUGGGCGGCAAAGGGCGGGGUUCAAUAAUCUGAAUGGUUUUGCUGGACUUUGUGGCUUUGACCGGCACCAGGGGCUUCCAGGUCUGAUGUGGAGGAGUGGCGGGCGGAGUUAGUCCUGGAGAGAAACAAAUAAUCAUGAAACUACAGUCAAAACACCCACUGCUCUCAUUGGACAACUCCCUCAUUAGCAUAUUCAUGAUGUCUCAUCUAUACGAUGUCUCUUUAUAACUUUAUGUAGCCGUUAUGUCAGACACAAGUUGCACUUUACUGUGUUUUGAACAAAUCGGCAGAUGCCGAUAUGGUGGCCGAUAUAUCGUGCGUCCCUAAUAUAUGAAUGAACAAAAUAAAAAUUAUGAAAUAUGCUGGUGGUCAGAUCACUAACUCUGAUGUGACCUCUGACCUGCAGUGCUACUGAGAUCCAUCGCCUGGCCAUCCUGAUGCUCAUCCCGGGAAACGUCUGGAAGAUUCGGCCCUUCAGAAGCUGCAGAGAAACAACAGUUUGACUCACAUUUACGCUGUGUGAUGUUGUGAAUCGGGGCCAGUGUGUGUGUCUUGUGAAGCAGAAGGAAGCGCCAUGAAAAAUUUGGCAGGAAACCCAGAGACCCUCUCAAAUGAAAUGUAGAAUCAUCACCUGAUCCCAGAACAGCCUGAGAACACGAGUGUCAGAAGGAAGCAGCGGAUGAAGAGUUUCUCUCUGUUAGAAGAGCCUGAACUGCAGAAAUACUGAGAGCCGGACACGAGGAGCU